This 78-nucleotide transfer RNA is filed under the name Microcaldota archaeon. RNAcentral describes it as "Candidatus Micrarchaeota archaeon (hot springs metagenome) tRNA-Arg". The stretch from base 5 to 71 matches the Rfam family "tRNA", at positions 6 to 65 of the family's 71-position model. From Rfam's summary of the family: Transfer RNA (tRNA) molecules are approximately 80 nucleotides in length. Their secondary structure includes four short double-helical elements and three loops (D, anti-codon, and T loops). The record is from RNAcentral. Lineage: Archaea; Nanobdellati; Microcaldota.
GGCCCGUAGCUCAACCUGGACAGAGCGCUCGGCUUCGGACCGAGAGGUUGGGGGUUCGAAUAGCCCUUUCGCUUGCCA